CUACGGGUCGCAGCAGUCGCGGAACUUUUACAAUGCACGCAAGUGUGAUAAAGCGAACCAAAGUGCCUUUCUUUUUGAAAGGCUUUUCUUUACUGUAAAAAUGUAGAGGAAUAAGGACUGGGAAAGACUGGUGCCAGCCGCCGCGGUAAUACCAGCAGUUCAAGUUGCAUCCCUUUUUAUUGGGUCUAAAACAUCCGUAGCUUGUUAUUUAAGUCUCUUGUGAAAUCCUACGUCUCAAGCGUGGGGCUUGCGGGAGAUACUGGAUAGCUAGAGAUCGGUAGACGUAAGGAGUACGCCGGGGGUAACGGUCAAAUGUGUUAAUCCUCGGUGGACUAACAAUGAGCGAAGGCACCUUACGAGGACGAAUCUGACAGUGAGGGAUGAAGGCCAGGGGCGCAAAACGGAUUAGAUACCCGAGUAGUC
This 423-nucleotide ribosomal RNA is filed under the name uncultured archaeon. RNAcentral describes it as "partial 16S ribosomal RNA". It matches the Rfam family "Archaeal small subunit ribosomal RNA", at positions 323 to 746 of the family's 1478-position model. The record is from RNAcentral.